RNAcentral lists this ribosomal RNA (252 nucleotides) under uncultured bacterium. RNAcentral describes it as "partial 16S ribosomal RNA". It matches the Rfam family "Bacterial small subunit ribosomal RNA", at positions 524 to 776 of the family's 1533-position model. The record is from RNAcentral.
GACAGAGGGUGCAAGCGUUGUCCGGAUUUAUUGGGCGUAAAGCGUCUGUAGGCGGUUUGUUAAGUCUAAAGUCAAAUAGUCAAGCUCAACUUGCUCUCGCUUUAGAUACUGGUGAACUAGAGUAUGUCAGGGGUUAAUGGAAUUCCCGGUGUAGCGGUGAAAUGCGUAGAUAUCGGGAGGAACUCCAGUGGCGAAAGCGAUUAACUGGGGCAUACCUGACGCUGUGAGACGAAAACGUGGGGAGCGAAAAGG